RNAcentral lists this transfer RNA (64 nucleotides) under Leptochiton nexus. RNAcentral describes it as "tRNA-Phe". Lineage: Eukaryota; Metazoa; Mollusca; Polyplacophora; Lepidopleurida; Lepidopleuridae. The record is from RNAcentral.
GAUUAGGUAGUUUAAAAAGAACUUAGCACUGAAGUUGCUAAAGAGGCAAAAAUGCCCCAAAUCA